GCUCCCUGAUGUUAGCGGCGGACGGGUGAGUAACACGUGGGUAACCUGCCUGUAAGACUGGGAUAACUCCGGGAAACCGGGGCUAAUACCGGAUGGUUGUUUGAACCGCAUGGUUCAAACAUAAAAGGUGGCUUCGGCUACCACUUACAGAUGGACCCGCGGCGCAUUAGCUAGUUGGUGAGGUAACGGCUCACCAAGGCGACGAUGCGUAGCCGACCUGAGAGGGUGAUCGGCCACACUGGGACUGAGACACGGCCCAGACUCCUACGGGAGGCAGCAGUAGGGAAUCUUCCGCAAUGGACGAAAGUCUGACGGAGCAACGCCGCGUGAGUGAUGAAGGUUUUCGGAUCGUAAAGCUCUGUUGUUAGGGAAGAACAAGUGCCGUUCGAAUAGGGCGGUACCUUGACGGUACCUAACCAGAAAGCCACGGCUAACUACGUGCCAGCAGCCGCGGUAAUACGUAGGUGGCAAGCGUUGUCCGGAAUUAUUGGGCGUAAAGGGCUCGCAGGCGGUUUCUUAAGUCUGAUGUGAAAGCCCCCGGCUCAACCGGGGAGGGUCAUUGGAAACUGGGGAACUUGAGUGCAGAAGAGGAGAGUGGAAUUCCACGUGUAGCGGUGAAAUGCGUAGAGAUGUGGAGGAACACCAGUGGCGAAGGCGACUCUCUGGUCUGUAACUGACGCUGAGGAGCGAAAGCGUGGGGAGCGAACAGGAUUAGAUACCCUGGUAGUCCACGCCGUAAACGAUGAGUGCUAAGUGUUAGGGGGUUUCCGCCCCUUAGUGCUGCAGCUAACGCAUUAAGCACUCCGCCUGGGGAGUACGGUCGCAAGACUGAAACUCAAAGGAAUUGACGGGGGCCCGCACAAGCGGUGGAGCAUGUGGUUUAAUUCGAAGCAACGCGAAGAACCUUACCAGGUCUUGACAUCCUCUGACAAUCCUAGAGAUAGGACGUCCCCUUCGGGGGCAGAGUGACAGGUGGUGCAUGGUUGUCGUCAGCUCGUGUCGUGAGAUGUUGGGUUAAGUCCCGCAACGAGCGCAACCCUUGAUCUUAGUUGCCAGCAUUCAGUUGGGCACUCUAAGGUGACUGCCGGUGACAAACCGGAGGAAGGUGGGGAUGACGUCAAAUCAUCAUGCCCCUUAUGACCUGGGCUACACACGUGCUACAAUGGACAGAACAAAGGGCAGCGAAACCGCGAGGUUAAGCCAAUCCCACAAAUCUGUUCUCAGUUCGGAUCGCAGUCUGCAACUCGACUGCGUGAAGCUGGAAUCGCUAG
RNAcentral lists this ribosomal RNA (1271 nucleotides) under Bacillus subtilis subsp. subtilis. Its description in RNAcentral is "bacterial SSU rRNA". It matches the Rfam family "Bacterial small subunit ribosomal RNA", at positions 81 to 1338 of the family's 1533-position model. The record is from RNAcentral. Lineage: Bacteria; Bacillati; Bacillota; Bacilli; Caryophanales; Bacillaceae.